CCUACGGGAGGCAGCAGUGAGGAAUAUUGGUCAAUGGGCGGGAGCCUGAACCAGCCAAGUCGCGUGAGGGAAGACGGUCCUAUGGAUUGUAAACCUCUUUAGGCGGGGAGCAAUGCCGGGCACGCGUGCCCGGAGGGAGAGUACCCGCAGAAUAAGCAUCGGCUAACUCCGUGCCAGCAGCCGCGGUAAUACGGAGGAUGCGAGCGUUAUCCGGAUUUAUUGGGUAUAAAGGGUGCGUAGGCGGAUUUUUAAGUCAGCGGUAAAAUGUCCGGGCUCAACCCGGGCCGGCCGUUGGAACUGGGGAGCUUGAGUGGGCGAGAAGUAUGCGGAAUGCGUGGUGUAGCGGUGAAAUGCAUAGAUAUCACGCAGAACUCCGAUUGCGAAGGCAGCAUACCGGAGCCCGACUGACGCUGAGGCACGAAAGCGUGGGGAUCGAACAGGAUUAGAUACCCGUGUAGUC
This 460-nucleotide ribosomal RNA is filed under the name uncultured bacterium. RNAcentral's name for it is "partial 16S ribosomal RNA". It matches the Rfam family "Bacterial small subunit ribosomal RNA", at positions 338 to 795 of the family's 1533-position model. The record is from RNAcentral.